RNAcentral lists this ribosomal RNA (449 nucleotides) under uncultured bacterium. RNAcentral's name for it is "partial 16S ribosomal RNA". It matches the Rfam family "Bacterial small subunit ribosomal RNA", at positions 29 to 523 of the family's 1533-position model. The record is from RNAcentral.
AACGAACGCUGGCGGCAUGCCUAACACAUGCAAGUCGAACGAGAUCUUCGGGUCUAGUGGCGCACGGGUGCGUAACGCGCAGGAAUCUGCCCUUUGGUUCGGAAUAACAGUUGGAAACGACUGCUAAUACCGGAUGAUGACGAAAGUCCAAAGAUUUAUCGCCAGAGGAUGAGCCCGCGUAGGAUUAGCUAGUUGGUGGGGUAAAGGCGCACCAAGGCGACGAUCCUUAGCUGGUCUGAGAGGAUGAGCAGCCACACUGGGACUGAGACACGGCCCAGACUCCUACGGGAGGCAGCAGUGGGGAAUAUUGGACAAUGGGCGAAAGCCUGGUCCAGCAAUGCCGCGUGAGUGAUGAAGGCCUUAGGGUUGUAAAGCUCUUUUACCCGGGAUGAUAAUGACAGUACCGGGAGAAUAAGCUCCGGCUAACUCCGUGCCAGCCGCCGCAGUAA